RNAcentral lists this ribosomal RNA (470 nucleotides) under uncultured organism. RNAcentral describes it as "partial 16S ribosomal RNA". It matches the Rfam family "Bacterial small subunit ribosomal RNA", at positions 334 to 796 of the family's 1533-position model. The record is from RNAcentral.
CACUCCUGCGGGAGGCAGCAGUGGGGAAUAUUGCACAAUGGGCGCAAGCCUGAUGCAGCCAUGCCGCGUGUAUGAAGAAGGCCUUCGGGUUGUAAAGUACUUUCAGCGGGGAGGAAGGCAAUACGGUUAAUAACCGUGUUGAUUGACGUUACCCGCAGAAGAAGCACCGGCUAACUCCGUGCCAGCAGCCGCGGUAAUACGGAGGGUGCAAGCGUUAAUCGGAAUUACUGGGCGUAAAGCGCACGCAGGCGGUCUGUCAAGUCGGAUGUGAAAUCCCCGGGCUCAACCUGGGAACUGCAUUCGAAACUGGCAGGCUUGAGUCUUGUAGAGGGGGGUAGAAUUCCAGGUGUAGCGGUGAAAUGCGUAGAGAUCUGGAGGAAUACCGGUGGCGAAGGCGGCCCCCUGGACAAAGACUGACGCUCAGGUGCGAAAGCGUGGGGAGCAAACAGGAUUAGAAACCCCAGUAGUCC